Molecule: ribosomal RNA, 439 nt
Filed under: uncultured bacterium
Lineage: Bacteria
Description: partial 16S ribosomal RNA
Rfam family: Bacterial small subunit ribosomal RNA
Source: RNAcentral
CUACGGGCUGCUGCAGUGGGGGAUAUUGCACAAUGGGCGAAAGCCUGAUGCAGCAACGCCGCGUGAAGGAAGACGGUUUUCGGAUUGUAAACUUCUAUCAGCUGGGAAGAAAAUGACGGUACCAGACUAAGAAGCCCCGGCUAACUAUGUGCCAGCAGCCGCGGUAAUACAUAGGGGGCAAGCGUUAUCCGGAAUUACUGGGUGUAAAGGGUACGUAGGCGGCUGAUCAAGUCAGAUGUGAAAGCCCGGAGCUCAACUCCGGGAUUGCAUUUGAAACUGGUCGGCUAGAGUGCAGGAGAGGAAAGUGGAAUUCCUAGUGUAGCGGUGAAAUGCGUAGAUAUUAGGAAGAACACCAGUGGCGAAGGCGGCUUUCUGGACUGUAACUGACGCUGAGGUACGAAAGCGUGGGGAGCGAACAGGAUUAGAUACCCUUGUAGUC